UCUAAGUUAAACUACCCUCUG
This 21-nucleotide transfer RNA is filed under the name Thymallus brevirostris (Mongolian grayling). RNAcentral describes it as "partial tRNA-Pro". Lineage: Eukaryota; Metazoa; Chordata; Actinopteri; Salmoniformes; Salmonidae. RNAcentral also lists the same sequence under 1 other name. The record is from RNAcentral.